This 322-nucleotide ribosomal RNA is filed under the name uncultured eukaryote. Its description in RNAcentral is "partial 18S ribosomal RNA". It matches the Rfam family "Eukaryotic small subunit ribosomal RNA", at positions 1470 to 1796 of the family's 1831-position model. The record is from RNAcentral.
CCCUUAGAUGUUCUGGGCCGCACGCGUGCUACACUGAGUGGAUCAGCGGGUCAGGUUGCGCGAAAGUGUUUCCUAAUCUUGAAAUCCGCUCGUGAUGGGGAUUGACGGUUGCAAUUUUCCGUCAUGAACGAGGAAUACCUUGUAAGCGCGGGUCAUCAUCCCGCGCUGAAUACGUCCCUGCCCUUUGUACACACCGCCCGUCGCUCCUACCGAUUGAGUGGUCCGGUGAGGCUUUGGGAUCUGAGCGGAAAGAGCGUUUCGCUGUUUCUGCUCGGAAAACUCAGUCGAACCAUAUCAUUUAGAGGAAGGAGAAGUCGUAACA